UAUUAAAGAUUUCAUCUAUUUUUACUGUUAAAACAGAAUAACCAAAUAGUUACACUUGGCCCGCCAUGUAUACCUCAUUCUGAUGUACAGAGAUUAGUUUUUUAUAGAAGAAAUGGAUGAAAUUUUUAUUA
Molecule: non-coding RNA, 131 nt
Organism: Gossypium raimondii (Peruvian cotton)
Lineage: Eukaryota; Viridiplantae; Streptophyta; Magnoliopsida; Malvales; Malvaceae
Source: Rfam